RNAcentral lists this non-coding RNA (29 nucleotides) under Rattus norvegicus (Norway rat). The record is from RNAcentral. Lineage: Eukaryota; Metazoa; Chordata; Mammalia; Rodentia; Muridae.
UAAAUGGACUCAGCAGGUUGAAUUUACAU